RNAcentral lists this ribosomal RNA (460 nucleotides) under uncultured bacterium. RNAcentral describes it as "partial 16S ribosomal RNA". It matches the Rfam family "Bacterial small subunit ribosomal RNA", at positions 338 to 795 of the family's 1533-position model. The record is from RNAcentral.
CCUACGGGAGGCAGCAGUGAGGAAUAUUGGUCAAUGGACGAGAGUCUGAACCAGCCAAGUAGCGUGAAGGAUGACUGCCCUAUGGGUUGUAAACUUCUUUUAUAUGGGAAUAAAACAGGGUACGCAUACCCUCUUGUAUGUACCCUAUGAAUAAGGAUCGGCUAACUCCGUGCCAGCAGCCGCGGUAAUACGGAGGAUCCGAGCGUUAUCCGGAUUUAUUGGGUUUAAAGGGUGCGUAGGUGGUUUGUUAAGUCAGUUGUGAAAGUUUGCGGCUCAACCGUAAAAUUGCAGUUGAAACUGGCAGUCUGGAGUACAGUAGAGGUGGGCGGAAUGCGUGGUGUAGCGGUGAAAUGCUUAGAUAUCACGAAGAACUCCGAUUGCGAAGGCAGCUCACUGGACUGCAACUGACACUGAUGCUCGAAAGUGUGGGUAUCAAACAGGAUUAGAUACCCCAGUAGUC